Non-coding RNA from Anolis carolinensis (green anole), 89 nucleotides. The record is from Rfam. Lineage: Eukaryota; Metazoa; Chordata; Lepidosauria; Squamata; Anolidae.
GCCGGUCCCGCUCCAGCAGCACUUCAAUAUUGGCAGUGUCCACCCCCUCCGGCCGCCAGUAUUGCCUGUGCUGCUCCAGGGGGGCUCGG